Molecule: long non-coding RNA, 3248 nt
Filed under: Manihot esculenta (cassava)
Lineage: Eukaryota; Viridiplantae; Streptophyta; Magnoliopsida; Malpighiales; Euphorbiaceae
Description: long non-coding RNA (MESC_LNC009006)
Source: RNAcentral
ACCCCUCUAUAAAAAUCAGCAAUCUUGGCUUCCUGCUCAUUCUCAUAUUGAACAAAAAAAGCAAAAGCACCAUAAAAAGGAAUUGGGUUUAGUUUCAUUUGAGCAAAAAUGGCAGCAGUAGUGGAGACAUGGGUGACUGAGCUAGCAAAGCUUAAAGAGAAGGUGGGACCAAAGAAGCCAUUUCUGUUCAUAUCCAAAGCCAGAGGAGUUGUAGUGGAAGAAGAAGAAGAAGAAGAAAGAGAAGCUGAGAAAGAAAGCAAAGUGGUUCAUAGAGAAACUACUAUGUCUGAGGCUACAGUGUGUAUGCUUAUGGACAGGUUUGCACCUUUGUGAUGAUAACCAACAUCAACAAAAAUUAUGUAAAAUAAAUAAAUAAAUGUAAAAUUAGUCCAAAUGUUUAUUAUGAUUGUAAUAUAGUCUUUGUUUUUUUUCUUUUUUGGGAGAUGGAGAUGUUGGAGUAGGUUUGCUUUUCCAGGAGAAUGGAAAUGGGUACAAAUCAAAAUUGGUUUACAUGUUAGAACUAGUGCCAUGGCAAUUUUUGGGUAAUUUACCAUUAAAUCCUUGAAAUAUUGCAAAACUCAUAAAUUAAUCCUAGUUUAAAUUUAAUGACCAUUUAACUUUCCAUUAAUCAAUUAAUCCUUCUAGCAAGAGGGAACUCAAUUUUUUAUUAUCAAUUAGAAAAUGACAAAUUCACCUUUUAUCAUUGUGAUAAAGAAUCUCCGUCUUGGAAACUAACACCAUGUUUGGAAGGAAAAUUUAGAGGAAAAUAAUUAUAUUUUUCAUUCAACUUUUGUUUCAACGGUGAAUUUUCUGAUUAUUAGUGAAUUUUCUCCUAUUCUUCGAUCGAUAUAGGUUUACGUUCCUGGAUUUUCUCUUUUUUUUGUCCGUCUGUUUUUUAUAUUAUUUUUUAUAUUCUUAUCUAAAUAAAUAUUUUAUUUUCGUAUUUUAUCAAGUAAAACGGGAGAUUGAGUUGGUUACUGCCUUCUUUUAUUUACUUAUUUUCCUUUCUUCUAUCCAAACAUGCCCUAAGGUGCAUCUUUCAGAGUGUGGUUAAAGGACUUCCCUCUCUGCUUGGACAUUGAGUUGAAAGAGGUUCAUAUCUCUCUCCUGCAUACGGCAAGAUUGAAAUUAGGAGGAAAUAAGAUACAGAAACUAAGAAAUAGAAAAUCUUAUCUCCUGUUUAAUUACUGAUUCGUUUGAAAUUCAAAAUUUUGUAAAUAUUUAAUUUAAUUAUUUUUUAAAUUAAAAUAAAAAAAUAAUUAUUUAAAAAAAAAUAAAAUUCUCAUAAGAAUUUGUUUAAAUUAUUUUUUAGCGAAAGAUUGAUCUGUGUUGCUCGCGUAUUCUCUAGAGAAUCCGCAGACCACUCCUAUGGAAGGGGAUGGGCAUGAAGAACAUUCAUCUGUCAGAAAACUUGCAUCUUCUGACUCAAGGUUAAAAAUAAUCAUGAGUUAUAUUCUUUAUUAUGUGUGAUUUUUAUAAAUAAUUAAUGGUAAAUUGAGAUUCUUUUCAAUAGAGCUUCAAAUUCGUUAACGAAAUAAACAUUUAAGGAAUAAAUUAUUAUUAUUCAAAUUUAAGAAAUUUUAAAUUAUAAUUUCUUUCUAAAAUUUCCUUUUAAGAUUUCAUUUAUGAAACACAUGACUAAUUCAUGCUUAUUAUGAAAUUAACCCAAGAAAACAACACAAAAUGACCAAGACACUUCCAUUCACAGAAUGAUCAGAAUUUGUUCAAUUGGAGUUAAUUAACAAUAAAGUCAAAAUUUAUUGACCCAAUUGUAAAAAAUUCAUGUAGCCUCUCUACAACUGAAAACAAUGAGGGAGCUGCAACUCCUGCCUGAUAUUUUUAGGGGACCAAAAUCAAAAUUUGACACACACAUCUAUAUUUAUAAUUUUUCCCAUCCUGCCCCUUACCUCCAUCACUUGGUGUAAAUAUAGUACAGUUGAUCAAGAGGAUGAACUGGCUUCAAGGCUAGCAGAAGCUUCCUCAAUGCUUGCAGAAGACAUUUCAAUGGGAUCCUCUUGAUCCCAGUUCAGAAUCACCCUUGCAUACAUAAGAGCUUCAUUAACAUUAGCAGGCUCCAAUGCUGUAACUAGUGAAACAAACAGCUUCUCAUCAGUAAGAGAAUGGAACAAUCUCUUAAACUUAACUGCGAUAUAUUGGAAUGCGCGUUGAGCUAACGAAGGGUUCGUGCUUUUAGAUGUGCUGGUGCUGCAGGUGUUGGGAUUAUGACCAAUCACUGGAUUGAAGUCAUUAAACCAUUCGCAGCGAGUGAGUGGAGUCUGUUCAAUCUUUUCUUCUAGCAAAUCAAAUUUGUUCAGUAUAAGAAGAAACUUCUUAUCUUCAAAAGUUGGAUGAGUAACAAUGCUUUCAAAUAGAUGCUUGCUUGCCAUCAUCUUGUUAGUCUGAACCCCAUUACUGUCUUCGACAAACUCAUCGUAGUCGAUCAACGAAACACAAAAUAAGACCAUGUCGACAUCUUCAAACAUUUCCAACCAUUUGCAGUUUCCUCCAAGGAUUUUUGGGUGCACUCUGAUGAGUUGGUACCUGUAAAUGUACGUGUAACUGGUGACUACUGGACAAAAGUUACAAUGAUAAAAAGACAAAAGAGCAGCAUCUCUAACUGCUCAUCCCUGCCUUUUUUUCUGAUAAAAGAAAUUUGCCUGAAUAAAGGAGCCCACAAUGAGUGUAAAAGGAGGAAAAUGGUCCUCCUAUGCAAGAACAAAUAGUAACAAAAUGAGAAUUAUUGUAUAGAAGUGCUAUCCAAUGCACGUCUGUCCACCACUGAAACGCCUCGAAAUAUACCAAAAGCUAACUAUAAAAAUAAAUACCAAAGAACAAUUAUGUCUCGCAAAAGCUGCAAAGGAUAGUAAUGGCUGACAAAAUUCUCACAUGACACUCCAACCAAACACAUAAAUCACUGCAAGCAAAGUACAGCUACAAAAAAUUUUCCUUUCUUUUGUCUAAUGAAAAAUGAAUCAGUAAAUCCAUAAUAUGCUUUUGGGUCAAACCAACUGUUCACCUGCUACUUAUUUCAGUUGCUCAGAAUAUGAGUUAUCAGUCGCAGUAACCACUUAUAACCUAAGUCUUCCAUUGCACAUAUGAGGUUUGUUCAGCAACAGUCAUGGAGAUAUUUGGACAUUUUAUAGGCCUGUUGGCGCUAUUUACUACUAGUUCAGGGCGGGUUGGCACAAUAUUGACACAAUCAUGAAUAAGCCCGACAAUAACCCUCUAUUUUUGUGUUGUGUUCACAG